RNAcentral lists this long non-coding RNA (476 nucleotides) under Elaeis guineensis (African oil palm). RNAcentral describes it as "long non-coding RNA (EGUI_LNC035287)". The record is from RNAcentral. Lineage: Eukaryota; Viridiplantae; Streptophyta; Magnoliopsida; Arecales; Arecaceae.
CUUUCUCCUCGACCUUGCUGACCUUGAUCUUAAGGUCACGCACCUCCUAGCUGGCCUCGAGGAGGGCCCUCCGAGCUUUAUCUUUGGCCGUCAACGCACCAACCACCUUCAUCUGAACAUUCUGGACCUAGCCUCGACCUCCUCCGUGGCCUCCCAUGGAUUACUGGCAUUAAUGGCCCAAAUUAGCAGAAGCAACAACUUGGAUGGGCAAGAUCAUGACAUAUGCCACCCACUCAUUACUCCACCGUUUCACCCAUGGAUGUGCAUUCGUUAUGGUUGUCCCAUCAUCAAACAUGGCUUGGCCUUGAUCACUGACACAAUGCCCUUCAUCCUACCCUAGUUUCAACUCGGGCUCAAGAGUGAGGGGCCAAGUGCUGGGGUGUAUCACCUCAAUCUUGACCAGAGCCAAAGCUCCCUUGAGCUCGGCUAGCACCAAGGACACAUGGUCGAACCCCACCAAUCUAACCUCCUUGGUU